AGAGUUUGAUCCUGGCUCAGAACGAACGCUGGCGGCAGGCCUAACACAUGCAAGUCGAAGGAGAAGUUUCUCUUCGGAGAGAUGGACACUGGCGCACGGGUGAGUAACGCGUGGGGAUCUACCCCGGGGUGGGGGACAACCGCUGGAAACGGCGGCUAAUACCGCAUACGCCUUAAGAGGGAAAGCUUUAGCGCCCUGGGAUGAACCCGCGUUAGAUUAGGUAGUUGGUGGGGUAACGGCCUACCAAGCCGACGAUCUAUAGCUGGUCUGAGAGGAUGAUCAGCCACACUGGGACUGAGACACGGCCCAGACUCCUACGGGAGGCAGCAGUGGGGAAUAUUGGACAAUGGGGGCAACCCUGAUCCAGCCAUGCCGCGUGCGUGAAGAAGGCCUUAGGGUUGUAAAGCGCUUUCACUGGUGAAGAUGAUGACGGUAGCCAGAGAAGAAGCCCCGGCUAACUCCGUGCCAGCAGCCGCGGUAAUACGGAGGGGGCAAGCGUUGUUCGGAAUUACUGGGCGUAAAGGGCGCGUAGGCGGAAUAUCAAGUUAGGGGUGAAAGGCCUGGGCUCAACCUAGGAACGGCCUCUAAAACUGAUA
RNAcentral lists this ribosomal RNA (596 nucleotides) under uncultured Alphaproteobacteria bacterium. RNAcentral's name for it is "bacterial SSU rRNA". It matches the Rfam family "Bacterial small subunit ribosomal RNA", at positions 8 to 638 of the family's 1533-position model. Lineage: Bacteria; Pseudomonadati; Pseudomonadota; Alphaproteobacteria. The record is from RNAcentral.